UAUCUUCUAUUUUUUCUAACUUGUGUCUCAGAAUUUGCUCAUAUGCUAUAUCCUCUCAGUGAGUGCUUCCUUACAACAGUUUUCUACGUCUCCCACGACAUUCUUGCUCCAAUCCCACAGCUCACUAGCAACCUCCCGAACAGCAUCUCUAACUCUUCCUGCUCUACAUUGAGUUGUUAAUUUCCAGAUGCUCUCAAUAAUUGUAACACACUGGUUCCUCCUGUAUCCGGCCGGCUGGCCACGAAACAGAAAAAAAAAACACGGUCCUGUCCACCAAGCAAC
RNAcentral lists this long non-coding RNA (282 nucleotides) under Sorghum bicolor (sorghum). RNAcentral describes it as "long non-coding RNA (SBIC_LNC002227)". Lineage: Eukaryota; Viridiplantae; Streptophyta; Magnoliopsida; Poales; Poaceae. The record is from RNAcentral.